GACGAACGCUGGCGGCGUGCUUAACACAUGCAAGUCGAACGGAAAGGCCCUGCUUUUGUGGGGUGCUCGAGUGGCGAAAGGGUGAGUAACACGUGAGUAAACUGCCCUUGACUUUGGGAUAACUUCAGGAAACUGGGGCUAAUACCGGAUAGGAGCUCCUGAUGCAUGGGGGGGGUUGGAAAGAUUCGGCGGUUGGGGAUGGGCGCGCGGGUUAUCGGCGUGUGGGGGGGGUAGUGGCUUACAACGGCUUUGAAGGGUAGCCGGCCUGGGGGGGGGAACGGCCACAUUGGGCCUGCGAUACGGCCCAGACGCCAACGGGAGGCAGCAGUGGGGAAUAUUGCACAAUGGGCGGAAGCCUGAUGCAGCAGCUCCGCGUGCGGGAUGACGGCUUUCGGGUUGUAAACCGCUUUCGCCUGUUACGAAGCGUGAGUGACGGUAACUGGUAAAGAAGCACCGGCUAACUACGUG
This 468-nucleotide ribosomal RNA is filed under the name uncultured bacterium. Its description in RNAcentral is "partial 16S ribosomal RNA". It matches the Rfam family "Bacterial small subunit ribosomal RNA", at positions 28 to 507 of the family's 1533-position model. The record is from RNAcentral.